Molecule: ribosomal RNA, 572 nt
Filed under: fungal endophyte
Lineage: Eukaryota; Fungi
Description: eukaryotic LSU rRNA
Rfam family: 5.8S ribosomal RNA (bases 197-350)
Source: RNAcentral
UUCCGAUGGUGAACCUGCGGAGGGAUCAUKACACAAAUAUGAAGGCGGGCUGGAACCUCUCGGGGUUACAGCCUUGCUGAAUUAUUCACCCUUGUCUUUUGCGUACUUCUUGUUUCCUUGGUGGGUUCGCCCACCACUAGGACAAACAUAAACCUUUUGUAAUUGCAAUCAGCGUCAGUAACAAAUUAAUAAUUACAACUUUCAACAACGGAUCUCUUGGUUCUGGCAUCGAUGAAGAACGCAGCGAAAUGCGAUAAGUAGUGUGAAUUGCAGAAUUCAGUGAAUCAUCGAAUCUUUGAACGCACAUUGCGCCCUUUGGUAUUCCAAAGGGCAUGCCUGUUCGAGCGUCAUUUGUACCCUCAAGCUUUGCUUGGUGUUGGGCGUCUUGUCUCUAGCUUUGCUGGAGACUCGCCUUAAAGUAAUUGGCAGCCGGCCUACUGGUUUCGGAGCGCAGCACAAGUCGCACUCUCUAUCAGCAAAGGUCUAGCAUCCAUUAAGCCUUUUUUUCAACUUUUGACCUCGGAUCAGGUAGGGAUACCCGCUGAACUUAAGCAUAUCAAUAAGCGGAGGAA